GCGCGCCCACCUGAAAACAAAAUAAGACCUUCCCUGCUUAAUAAAGCAGGAAGCUUUCCCCAACUUUCUUUCAAGAAAAAGGCAGAAUAGUACUCCUUGUACUGUUCAUGCUCCUUCAACCAAGAAUCUCCCAACAGACCUCCAAGCUUAGUUCCUUUCAAAUGCUUAUAUAGAUGCCAAUGAUUAUUCAUCAAGAACACAUAUGACAAAAUAACAUCUUGAUAGGCCUUUGACCAUGUCUCUAAAUUCACGUCAACAGCUCUCAUUAUAUUCAGUAGCUCAGUAAUGAGAAGCCGCUCUUGAAAUUUUUCCUGCUUCCAACUUCUUUCAAUAAUCAGAACUUGGGUGAGGAUAGACUUAUAAUCAUCCCCGAGCAACUUAUUGCAAUAGUCGGUGAUGAAAAUGAUAAG
Molecule: unclassified non-coding RNA, 410 nt
Filed under: Hevea brasiliensis (rubber tree)
Lineage: Eukaryota; Viridiplantae; Streptophyta; Magnoliopsida; Malpighiales; Euphorbiaceae
Source: RNAcentral